CGCGUGCACUGGUCCGGCCGGGCCUUUCCUUCUGUGGAACCCCAUGCCCUUCACUGGGUGUGGCGGGGAAACAGGACUUUUACUUUGAAAAAAUUAGAGUGCUCCAGGCAGGCCUAUGCUCGAAUACAUUAGCAUGGAAUAAUAAAAUAGGACGUGGUGGUUCUAUUUUGUUGGUUUCUAGGACCGCCGUAAUGAUUAAUAGGGACAGUCGGGGGGCAUCAGUAUUCAGUUGUCAGAGGUGAAAUUCUUAGAUCUACUGAAGACUAACUACUGCGAAAGCAUUUGCCAAGGAUGUUUUCAUUAAUCAGGAACGAAAGUUAGGGGAUCGAAGACGAUCAGAUACCGUCGUAGUCUUAACCAUAAACUAUGCCGACUAGGGAUCGGACGAUGUUAUUUUUUGACUCGUCCGGCACCUUACGAGAAAUCAAAGUGCUUGGGCUCCAGGGGGAGUAUGGUCGCAAGGCUGAAACUUAAAGAAAUUGACGGAAGGGCACCACCAGGGGUGGAGCCUGCGGCUUAAUUUGACUCAACACGGGGAAACUCACCAGGUCCAGACACAAUAAGGAUUGACAGAUUGAGAGCUCUUUCUUGAUUUUGUGGGUGGUGGUGCAUGGCCGUUCUUAGUUGGUGGAGUGAUUUGUCUGCUUAAUUGCGAUAACGAACGAGACCUUAACCUGCUAACUAGCCCGUAUUGCUCAGGCAGUACGCCGGCUUCUUAGAGGGACUAUCGG
This 731-nucleotide ribosomal RNA is filed under the name uncultured eukaryote. RNAcentral's name for it is "SSU rRNA". It matches the Rfam family "Eukaryotic small subunit ribosomal RNA", at positions 670 to 1426 of the family's 1831-position model. The record is from RNAcentral.